GUGCUUUUCAGAGGCACUGUUAAUGCUUGUGAUUUGUCACUGUGGAAUUGCUCCUCUGAAUGUCCUUUACUUAAAUGCACAGGGAAACAAAUAGAUCUCUUUUGUGUCUGGUCAUAGGAGCAUUGUGCAUCCCAUACUGCGCUUUGCAGCUCAUUUCACCUUCCCAGUGCAGCCUCUGUGAAAUUUCCUCAGACUUGUGACCUCUCUAACUGGGAGCCACUCCCAUCCCCUGUGGCAGUUCCAGGACCUGCUGCACUGGAUAUGGACUUUGUUCUCCACCUCCCUCCUCUCAAAACAGUGGAGAUUUUUGUCCUUUGCCCAAAUGGUGUCCUGCAGACCCUCUACUACCAAGUUCUGAGCUCUGCAACAUAAUUGAAACAUCAAAAGGAAUUCAAGCUCACUUGGUCAUAGUCUGGACAUCACAUUUUUAUAGGAACAAAGGAAGAUGUGGUAUGCCCUUCACAUGUGCUCAUAUUAAAAAUUUACUAGAUGGUUACGACUAAAAGGAAAAGAAGUUCCUUUGAAUGAAGGAAAGUCACCUUUUCCUGCAGAUAAAUUUUAGACCAUCACUCACUGAGUUUUCAGCAAGUGGAUCAUAUUGCCUUUUCUUUUUCAACUCCUUAUAUAAAAUGGUGAGUGGUUUUUAUACUCAAAAUUUUUAAUAUAUUUUUUAAUCUCAUGUACUCUCACAUGAAAUAAUAUGAAAGCUGCAAAAGCAUUAAUACAUUUGUCAAUGUUCUAGCAAAGUCUCUGAUCUCCCAGCUUUGCUUAACUACCUUUUUUUUUUUUUUUCAAUUUACAAAAAUAUUUCAUUAGACUCUUUUCACUAUGGCUUUUUGCAUUGUGAUCAAUGUCAGUAGACAAU
This 865-nucleotide long non-coding RNA is filed under the name Anser brachyrhynchus (Pink-footed goose). Its description in RNAcentral is "lncRNA (ENSABRG00000001108.1)". The record is from RNAcentral. Lineage: Eukaryota; Metazoa; Chordata; Aves; Anseriformes; Anatidae.